CCAAUAGCGUAUAUUAAAGUUGUUGCAGUUAAAAAGCUCGUAGUUGAAUUUCGGGAUCAAGGAAUCGGUCAUGCCUCGGUAUGUACUGGUUUUAUUGGUUCUCACCUUCUAAAGAACCAUGAUGUCAUUCAUUUGAUGUUAUGGGGAAUUAGGACUGUUACCUUGAAAAAAUUAGAGUGUUUAAAGCAGGCUUACGCUUGAAUACAUUAGCAUGGAAUAAUGAAAUAGGACAUCAGAUUCUAUUUUGUUGGUUUCUAGGAUCGAUGUAAUGAUUAAUAAGGAUAGUUGGGGGCAUUAGUAUUCAAUUGUCAGAGGUGAAAUUCUUGGAUUUAUUGAAGACCAACUACUGCGAAAGCAUUUGCCAAGGAUGUUUUCAUUAAUCAAGAACGAAAGUUAGGGGAUCGAAGACGAUCAGAUACCGUCGUAGUCUUAACCAUAAACUAUGCCGACUAGGGAUCGGAUGAUGUUAAUUUUAUAAUGACUCAUUCGGCACCUUACG
Molecule: ribosomal RNA, 499 nt
Filed under: uncultured Glomeromycotina
Lineage: Eukaryota; Fungi; Glomeromycota
Description: partial small subunit ribosomal RNA
Rfam family: Eukaryotic small subunit ribosomal RNA
Source: RNAcentral